AACGUAGGUGGCGAGCGUUAUCCGGAUUCAUUGGGCGUAAAGAGCUUGUAGGCGGCGUCAUAAGUUGGACGUGAAAACUCCGGGCUUAACUUGGAGAGGCCGUUCAAUACUGUGAGGCUAGAGGGUGUCAGAGGGAAGUAGAAUUCCUGGUGUAGCAGUGAAAUGCGUAGAUAUCAGGAGGAAUACCCGUGGCGAAGGCGGCUUCCUGGGGCACCACUGACGCUGAGAAGCGAAAGCGUGGGGAGCAAACAGG
RNAcentral lists this ribosomal RNA (253 nucleotides) under uncultured bacterium. RNAcentral's name for it is "partial 16S ribosomal RNA". It matches the Rfam family "Bacterial small subunit ribosomal RNA", at positions 524 to 776 of the family's 1533-position model. The record is from RNAcentral.